GCUCCUGGCUGUGUGCGAUCGAGAAGGAUAGGGCAGGGGAGACUUUCCCCUCAAAACCCUAGCAAAUUAUCACCAAAUUGAGAGGCUUAAAGGCUGAAAUUGUUAUGCAUGGGCUAGGAACUUUGAUUACUUAAGUGUUCUUGACAUCAAGCACGAAGAAAGAAGAAAGCGCGAGUCAUUCGAAGUCACAAGCAACGCAAGACCACGGCACGAAGAAAGAAGAAAGCGCGAGUCAUUCGAAGUCACAAGCAACGCAAGACCACGGUAUAUCCCACUCAUGAUGAUGCGAGCUCGGAUCGGACACACCACACUACAUCGCCCUUUAUGCGCUUCCGGUUAAAGUCGUCUUUUGUAAAUGGGUCAAAACUCUUUCAUAAUGUAAAUAUUAAAUUUAUGUCUUUUGAAGUG
Long non-coding RNA from Helianthus annuus (common sunflower), 408 nucleotides. RefSeq lists it as uncharacterized. The record is from RefSeq and is a predicted model, not a curated record. The transcript is spliced from 4 exons. NCBI's taxonomy places the organism in Eukaryota, Viridiplantae, Streptophyta, Magnoliopsida, Asterales, Asteraceae.